ACACUCCUACGGGAGGCAGCAGUGGGGAAUUUUGGACAAUGGGCGAAAGCCUGAUCCAGCAAUGCCGCGUGAGUGAAGAAGGCCUUCGGGUUGUAAAGCUCUUUUGUCAGGGAAGAAACGGUGAGAGCUAAUAUCUUUUGCUAAUGACGGUACCUGAAGAAUAAGCACCGGCUAACUACGUGCCAGCAGCCGCGGUAAUACGUAGGGUGCAAGCGUUAAUCGGAAUUACUGGGCGUAAAGCGUGCGCAGGCGGUUUUGUAAGUCUGAUGUGAAAUCCCCGGGCUCAACCUGGGAAUUGCAUUGGAGACUGCAAGGCUAGAAUCUGGCAGAGGGGGGUAGAAUUCCACGUGUAGCAGUGAAAUGCGUAGAUAUGUGGAGGAACACCGAUGGCGAAGGCAGCCCCCUGGGUCAAGAUUGACGCUCAUGCACGAAAGCGUGGGGAGCAAACAGGAUUAGAAACCCCAGUAGUCCCAUGAU
Molecule: ribosomal RNA, 477 nt
Filed under: uncultured organism
Description: partial 16S ribosomal RNA
Rfam family: Bacterial small subunit ribosomal RNA
Source: RNAcentral